This 1039-nucleotide long non-coding RNA is filed under the name Sparus aurata (gilthead seabream). RNAcentral describes it as "lncRNA (ENSSAUG00010004386.1)". The record is from RNAcentral. Lineage: Eukaryota; Metazoa; Chordata; Actinopteri; Spariformes; Sparidae.
GUUCAGUGAUGAUUUUUUGUUCCUCCAGUGUGAUGUUCUUGUUUUUCUCUUUGUCUCUGCAGGCUAAGUCUGGAUACUGUUCAGACUUAUAAUUCUUACAGCAAACGUACCACUCUCCAUCGAUUAACACAGCUACAACCCACAGCAGACUGAUGAAAGCUGCCUUGAAAAAGUGAUUCAACAAAACAAGGCAAAACUUCCAUCUGCAACAGCAUGUACAGCAUCCACUACAUGAAUAACAGCAUCCUCCACCGGCUCCUUCUACACCAGCUUGUCCUCCACCGGCUCCUUCUACACCAGCUUGUCCUCCACCGGCUCCUUCUUCACCAGCUUGUCCUCCACCGGCUCCUUCUUCACCAGCUUGUCCUCCACCGGCUCCUUCUUCACCAGCUUGUCCUCCACCGGCUCCUUCUUCACCAGCUUGUCCUCCACCGGCUCCUUCUUCACCAGCUUGUCCUCCACCGGCUCCUUCUUCACCAGCUUGUCCUCCACCGGCUCCUUCUGCAGCUGCUUGUCCUCCACCGGCUCCUUCUACAGCUGCUUGUCCUCCACCGGCUCCUUCUACAGCUGCUUGUCCUCCACCGGCUCCUUCUGCAGCUGCUUGUCCUCCACCGGCUCCUUCUGCAGCUGCUUGUCCUCCACCGGCUCCUUCUACACCAGCUUGUCCUCCACCGGCUCCUUCUACACCAGCUUGUUCUCCACCGGCUCCUUCUACACCAGCUUGUUCUCCACCGGCUCCUUCUACACCAGCUUGUCCUCCACAUGUGCAUACACAUGUGUAUUUGCAGACUCUCUGAAAUGUCUUGUCCAUCCAGAGUUGUAAAAAUAAUAGGAUCAAAAUUGGCAAAAUCAUGUAUAAGACGCAGGAUAUAUAUACUUUAUCACAUGAGCACUGCAAAUCAUAGCCGAGCACAACAUUGUAAACAAAAAUCACAAUGAAUGCGAUGUAGGGGCCGAGUUGUUGGAGAGCAAACUUUGGGAAGACGCCCUUCAUGUUUGGUGCCAUGUUUGCAUCUGCUGGUUUCUGCUGCUGGUCGCC